Molecule: ribosomal RNA, 257 nt
Filed under: uncultured bacterium
Lineage: Bacteria
Description: partial 16S ribosomal RNA
Rfam family: Bacterial small subunit ribosomal RNA
Source: RNAcentral
UCGGACGGGUGAGUAACGCGUGGAGAACCUGCCGUAUACUGGGGGAUAACACUUAGAAAUAGGUGCUAAUACCGCCAUAAGCGCACAGCUUCGCAUGAAACAGUGUGAAAAACUCCGGUGGUAUACGAUGGAUCCGCGUCUGAUUAGCUGGUUGGCGGGGUAACAGCCCACCAAGGCGACGAUCAGUAGCCGGCCUGAGAGGGUGAACGGCCACAUUGGGACUGAGACACGGCCCAAACUCCUACGGAAGGCAGCAG